GUGCUCUCUUCAGCACUCAUAGACUAAAAACUGGAACCUUACAGAGGAGACGAGUGUGACCCCUGUGAGAGGUGACAUGCACGUCUGUGAAGCUGUCACCAUUUUU
Ictidomys tridecemlineatus (thirteen-lined ground squirrel) is the source of this 106-nucleotide small nuclear RNA. Lineage: Eukaryota; Metazoa; Chordata; Mammalia; Rodentia; Sciuridae. The record is from Ensembl.